This 252-nucleotide ribosomal RNA is filed under the name uncultured Bacteroidales bacterium. RNAcentral's name for it is "partial 16S ribosomal RNA". It matches the Rfam family "Bacterial small subunit ribosomal RNA", at positions 524 to 776 of the family's 1533-position model. The record is from RNAcentral. Lineage: Bacteria; Pseudomonadati; Bacteroidota; Bacteroidia; Bacteroidales.
UACGGAGGAUGCGAGCGUUAUCCGGAUUUAUUGGGUUUAAAGGGUGCGCAGGCGGCGUGUCAAGCAAGCGGUAAAAUAGCGGGGCUCAACCCCGUCGAGCCGUUUGAACUGGCGCGCUUGAGUUCAGACGAGGUAGGCGGAAUAAGUUAAGUAGCGGUGAAAUGCUUAGAUAUAACUUAGAACUCCGAUAGCGAAGGCAGCUUACCAGACUGCGACUGACGCUGAAGCACGAGAGCGUGGGUAGCGAACAGG